UACAGAGGGUGCAAGCGUUGUUCGGAAUCAUUGGGCGUAAAGGGCGCGUAGGUGGCCCGGUCAGCGUGCGGUGAAAGCUCGGGGCUCAACCCCGAGUCGGCCGUGCGAACUGCUGGGCUCGAGCACUGUAGAGGCAGGCGGAAUUCCGGGUGUAGCGGUGGAAUGCGUAGAGAUCCGGAAGAACACCGGUGGCGAAGGCGGCCUGCUGGGCAGUGGCUGACACUGAGGCGCGACAGCGUGGGGAGCAAACAGG
Molecule: ribosomal RNA, 253 nt
Filed under: uncultured bacterium
Lineage: Bacteria
Description: partial 16S ribosomal RNA
Rfam family: Bacterial small subunit ribosomal RNA
Source: RNAcentral